RNAcentral lists this ribosomal RNA (2929 nucleotides) under Leclercia sp. J807. Its description in RNAcentral is "23S ribosomal RNA". It matches the Rfam family "Bacterial large subunit ribosomal RNA". Lineage: Bacteria; Pseudomonadati; Pseudomonadota; Gammaproteobacteria; Enterobacterales; Enterobacteriaceae. The record is from RNAcentral.
GGGUUGUGAGGUUAAGCGACUAAGCGUACACGGUGGAUGCCCUGGCAGUCAGAGGCGAUGAAGGACGUGCUAAUCUGCGAAAAGCGCCGGCGAGGUGAUAUGAACCCUUGACCCGGCGAUGUCCGAAUGGGGAAACCCAGUGUGAUUCGUCACACUAUCGUUAGCUGAAUACAUAGGCUAACGAGGCGAACCGGGGGAACUGAAACAUCUAAGUACCCCGAGGAAAAGAAAUCAACCGAGAUUCCCCCAGUAGCGGCGAGCGAACGGGGAGCAGCCCGGAGUCUGAAUCAGCUUGUGUGUUAGUGGAAGCGUCUGGAAAGUCGCAGGGUACAGGGUGAUACUCCCGUACACGAAAGCACACAUGCUGUGAACUCGAAGAGUAGGGCGGGACACGUGGUAUCCUGUCUGAAUAUGGGGGGACCAUCCUCCAAGGCUAAAUACUCCUGACUGACCGAUAGUGAACCAGUACCGUGAGGGAAAGGCGAAAAGAACCCCGGCGAGGGGAGUGAAAAAGAACCUGAAACCGUGUACGUACAAGCAGUGGGAGCACCUUCGGGUGUGACUGCGUACCUUUUGUAUAAUGGGUCAGCGACUUAUAUUCUGUAGCAAGGUUAACCGUAUAGGGGAGCCGAAGGGAAACCGAGUCUUAACUGGGCGUUAAGUUGCAGGGUAUAGACCCGAAACCCGGUGAUCUAGCCAUGGGCAGGUUGAAGGUUGGGUAACACUAACUGGAGGACCGAACCGACUAAUGUUGAAAAAUUAGCGGAUGACCUGUGGCUGGGGGUGAAAGGCCAAUCAAACCGGGAGAUAGCUGGUUCUCCCCGAAAGCUAUUUAGGUAGCGCCUCGUGAAUUCAUCCUCGGGGGUAGAGCACUGUUUCGGCUAGGGGGCCAUCCCGGCUUACCAACCCGAUGCAAACUGCGAAUACCGAGGAAUGUUAUCACGGGAGACACACGGCGGGUGCUAACGUCCGUCGUGAAGAGGGAAACAACCCAGACCGCCAGCUAAGGUCCCAAAGUCAUGGUUAAGUGGGAAACGAUGUGGGAAGGCACAGACAGCCAGGAUGUUGGCUUAGAAGCAGCCAUCAUUUAAAGAAAGCGUAAUAGCUCACUGGUCGAGUCGGCCUGCGCGGAAGAUGUAACGGGGCUAAACCAUGCACCGAAGCUGCGGCAGCGACACUAUGUGUUGUUGGGUAGGGGAGCGUUCUGUAAGCCUGCGAAGGUGUGCUGUGAGGCAUGCUGGAGGUAUCAGAAGUGCGAAUGCUGACAUAAGUAACGAUAAAGCGGGUGAAAAGCCCGCUCGCCGGAAGACCAAGGGUUCCUGUCCAACGUUAAUCGGGGCAGGGUGAGUCGACCCCUAAGGCGAGGCCGAAAGGCGUAGUCGAUGGGAAACAGGUUAAUAUUCCUGUACUCGGUGUUACUGCGAAGGGGGGACGGAGAAGGCUAUGUUGGCCGGGCGACGGUUGUCCCGGUUUAAGCAUGUAGGCGGAGGUUCCAGGUAAAUCCGGUACCUUUUAACGCUGAGGUGUGAUGACGAGGCACUACGGUGCUGAAGCAACAAAUGCCCUGCUUCCAGGAAAAGCCUCUAAGCAUCAGGUAACAUCAAAUCGUACCCCAAACCGACACAGGUGGUCAGGUAGAGAAUACCAAGGCGCUUGAGAGAACUCGGGUGAAGGAACUAGGCAAAAUGGUGCCGUAACUUCGGGAGAAGGCACGCUGAUAUGUAGGUGAAGCCCCUGCGGGUGGAGCUGAAAUCAGUCGAAGAUACCAGCUGGCUGCAACUGUUUAUUAAAAACACAGCACUGUGCAAACACGAAAGUGGACGUAUACGGUGUGACGCCUGCCCGGUGCCGGAAGGUUAAUUGAUGGGGUUAGCUGUAAGGCGAAGCUCUUGAUCGAAGCCCCGGUAAACGGCGGCCGUAACUAUAACGGUCCUAAGGUAGCGAAAUUCCUUGUCGGGUAAGUUCCGACCUGCACGAAUGGCGUAAUGAUGGCCAGGCUGUCUCCACCCGAGACUCAGUGAAAUUGAAAUCGCUGUGAAGAUGCAGUGUACCCGCGGCAAGACGGAAAGACCCCGUGAACCUUUACUAUAGCUUGACACUGAACACUGGUCCUUGAUGUGUAGGAUAGGUGGGAGGCUUUGAAGUGUGGACGCCAGUCUGCAUGGAGCCGUCCUUGAAAUACCACCCUUUAAUGGCUGGUGUUCUAACGUGGACCCGUUACCCGGGUUGCGGACAGUGUCUGGUGGGUAGUUUGACUGGGGCGGUCUCCUCCUAAAGAGUAACGGAGGAGCACGAAGGUCAGCUAAUCCUGGUCGGACAUCAGGAGGUUAGUGCAAUGGCAUAAGCUGGCUUGACUGCGAGAGUGACGGCUCGAGCAGGUGCGAAAGCAGGUCAUAGUGAUCCGGUGGUUCUGAAUGGAAGGGCCAUCGCUCAACGGAUAAAAGGUACUCCGGGGAUAACAGGCUGAUACCGCCCAAGAGUUCAUAUCGACGGCGGUGUUUGGCACCUCGAUGUCGGCUCAUCACAUCCUGGGGCUGAAGUAGGUCCCAAGGGUAUGGCUGUUCGCCAUUUAAAGUGGUACGCGAGCUGGGUUUAGAACGUCGUGAGACAGUUCGGUCCCUAUCUGCCGUGGGCGCUGGAGAAUUGAGGGGGGCUGCUCCUAGUACGAGAGGACCGGAGUGGACGCAUCACUGGUGUUCGGGUUGUCAUGCCAAUGGCACUGCCCGGUAGCUAAAUGCGGAAGAGAUAAGUGCUGAAAGCAUCUAAGCACGAAACUUGCCCCGAGAUGAGUUCUCCCUGACCCUUUAAGGGUCCUGAAGGAACGUUGAAGACGACGACGUUGAUAGGCCGGGUGUGUAAGCGCAGCGAUGCGUUGAGCUAACCGGUACUAAUGAACCGUGAGGCUUAACCUUACAACGCCGAAGCUGUU